RNAcentral lists this ribosomal RNA (497 nucleotides) under uncultured bacterium. Its description in RNAcentral is "partial 16S ribosomal RNA". It matches the Rfam family "Bacterial small subunit ribosomal RNA", at positions 28 to 507 of the family's 1533-position model. The record is from RNAcentral.
GAUGAACGCUGGCGGCGUGCCUAAUACAUGCAAGUCGAGCGAACGGACGAGAAGCUUGCUUCUCUGAUGUUAGCGGCGGACGGGUGAGUAACACGUGGAUAACCUACCUAUAAGACUGGGAUAACUUCGGGAAACCGGAGCUAAUACCGGAUAAUAUUUUGAACCGCAUGGUUCAAAAGUAAAAGACGGUCUUGCUGUCACUUAUAGAUGGAUCCGCGCUGCAUUAGCUAGUUGGUAAGGUAACGGCUUACCAAGGCAACGAUGCAUAGCCGACCUGAGAGGGUGAUCGGCCACACUGGAACUGAGACACGGUCCAGACUCCUACGGGAGGCAGCAGUAGGGAAUCUUCCGCAAAGGGCGAAAGCCUGACGGAGCAACGCCGCGUGAGUGAUGAAGGUCUUCGGAUCGUAAAACUCUGUUAUUAGGGAAGAACAUAUGUGUAAGUAACUGUGCACAUCUUGACGGUACCUAACCAGAAAGCCACGGCUAACUACGUG